AUGCCUGAGCAGGACAAGGACCCCAGAGUCCAAGAAAAUCCUGCUGAUCAGAGAACGGUCCCCGAGGUCACCGGGGAUGCACGGUCUGCAUUUUGGCCCCUGCGGGACAAUGGAGGCCUCUCUCCCUUUGUGCCCAGGCCCGGGCCUCUGCAGACAGACCUCGAUGCCCAGAGCUCAGAAAUCAGAUAUAACCAGACAUCCCAGACAUCCUGGACGAGCUCGAGCACAAAACGAAAUGCCAUCUCCAGCUCCUACAGCUCCACGGGAGGCUUGCCGGGGCUAAAGCAGAGGAGGGGACCAGCCUCAUCCCGCUGCCAGCUGACCCUCAGUUACUCAAAGACAGUGAGUGAGGACAGGCCUCAGGCUGUCUCUUCGGGUCACACACGGUGUGAAAAGGCGGCAGAUACAGCACCAGGGCAGACACUCGCCCCAAGGGGUGGCUCCCCCAGAUCCCAGGCCUCUAGGCCCCGUAGACGCAAGAUUCCCCUGCUGCCAAGCAGGCGAGGGGAGCCUUUGAUGCUGCCACCUCCCUUAGAGCUGGGGUACCGGGUCACGGCGGAAGACCUGCACCUGGAAAAACAGGCAGCAUUCCAGCGCAUCAACAGUGCACUGCACGUUGAGGACAAGGCCAUCUCGGACUGCAGACCCUCACGGCCUUCCCACACUUUGUCCUCACUUGCAACAGGGGCUUCGGGUGGGCCUCCCCUUUCUAAAGCACCCACUAUGGAUGCACAGCAGGACAGACCCAAGUCCCAAGACUGCCUGGGCCUAGUGGCCCCCCUAGCAUCUGCUGCAGAGGUCUCCUCUACAGCUCCCGUGUCUGGGAAGAAGCAGAGACCACCAGGACCCCUGUUCUCCUCCUCAGAUACCCUUCCUGCCACCUCUUCCCACUCCCGGGACUCAGCCCAGGUCACCUCGAUGAUUCCUGCCCCCUUCACAGCUGCAAGCAGGGAUGCCGGCAUGAGAAGAACAAGGUCGGCCCCUGCAGCUGCCGCAGCAGCCCCUCCCCCCUCCACAUUGAACCCCACGUCGGGGUCACUACUCAAUGCAGUGGAUGGAGGCCCCUCACAUUUCUUGGCCUCAGCCACAGCUGCAGCACGUGCCCAGAGGUCAGAAGUGAGAUAUAACCAGAGAUCCCAGACCACCCGGACCAGAUCCUGCCUCAAACGAAAUGCCAGCUCCAGCUCCCACAGCUCUACGGAAGGCCUCCCGGAACUAAAGCGGAGGAGGGGGCCAGCCUCAGCCCACUGCCAGCUGGCCCACAGUUCCUCAAAGACAGUGAGUGAGGACGGAGCUCAGGCUGUCUCUACGGGUCACCGCUGUGAAAAGAAGGCAGACACAGCACCAGGGCAGACACUCGCCCCCAGGGGUGGCUCCCCCAGAUCCCAGGCCUCUAGGCCCCACAUCAACAGUGCACUGCACGUUGAGGACAAGGCCAUCUCGGACUGCAGACCCUCACGGCCUUCCCACACUUUGUCCUCACUUGCAACAGGGGCUUCGCGUGGGCCUCCCGUUUCUAAAGCACCCACUAUGGAUGCACAGCAGGACAGACCCAAGUCCCAAGACUGCCUGGGCCUAGUGGCCCCCCUAGCAUCUGCUGCAGAGGUCCCCUCUACAGCUCCCGUGUCUGGGAAGAAGCACAGACCACCAGGACCCCUGUUCUCCUCCUCAGAUCCCCUUCCUGCCACCUCUUCCCACUCCCGGGACUCAGCCCAGGUCACCUCGCUGAUUCCUGCCCCCUUCACAGCUGCAAGCAGGGAUGCCAGCAUGAGAAGAACAAGGCCUGGCACCUCCGCUCCUGCAGCUGCAGCAGCAGCCCCUCCCCCCUCCACAUUGAACCCCACGUCGGGGUCACUACUCAAUGCAGUGAAUGGAGGCCCCUCACAUUUCUUGGCCUCAGCCACAGCUGCAGCACGUGCCCAGAGGUCAGAAGUGAGAUAUAACCAGAGAUCCCAGACCUCCCGGACCAGAUCCUGCCUCCAAGGAAAUGCCAGCUCCAGCUCCCACAGUUCUACGGAAGGCCUCCCGGAACUAAAGCGGAGGAGGGGGCCAGCCUCAUGCCACUGCCAGCUGGCCCUCAGUUCCUCAAACACAGUGAGUGAGGACGGACCUCAGGCUGUCUCUUCGGGUCACACCCGCUGUCAAAAGGCAGAUACAGCACCAGGGCAGACACUCGCCCCCAGGGGUGGCUCCCCCAGAUCCCAGGCCUCUAGGCCCCACAUCAACAGUGCACUGCACGUUGAGGGCAAGGCCAUCUCGGACUGCAGACCCUCACGGCCUUCCCACACUUUGUCCUCACUUGCAACGGGGGCUUCGCGUGGGCCUCCCCUUUCUAAAGCACCCACUAUGGAUGCACAGCAGGACAGACCCAAGUCCCAAGACUGCCUAGGCCUAGUGGCCCCCCUAGCAUCUGCUGCAGAGGUCUCCUCUACAGCUCCCGUGUCUGGGAAGAAGCACAGACCACCAGGACCCCUGUUCUCCUCCUCAGAUCCCCUUCCUGCCACCUCUUCCCACUCCGGGGACUCAGCCCAGGACACCUCGCUGAUUCCUGCCCCCCUCACACCUGCAAGCAGGGAUGCCGGCGUGAGAAGAAUGUUUUGUGUUCGAAAUUGUUUGAGGGGUUUGGGUUUAUUUUUGUUGGUUUUUUCUUUUUUGUUUUUGCUUACAUGGGCAUCCUUCAGCUUU
This 2685-nucleotide long non-coding RNA is filed under the name Homo sapiens (human). Its description in RNAcentral is "non-protein coding lnc-CDH12-2:1". The record is from RNAcentral. Lineage: Eukaryota; Metazoa; Chordata; Mammalia; Primates; Hominidae.